Long non-coding RNA from Numida meleagris (helmeted guineafowl), 2575 nucleotides. The record is from Ensembl. Lineage: Eukaryota; Metazoa; Chordata; Aves; Galliformes; Numididae.
GUAAAAGUAGAAGAUCGUGAGGUAAAAGGGGGAGACUUUGUGGUAGAAAAUGGAGAUUUUAAGGUGAAAAAAGAAUUUGAAGUGAAAAUGGGAGGAUUUGAGGUAAAAACAGGAGGUUUUGAGAUAAAGGGAGGGAUCUUGGGGUAAAAAGGGGGGAUUUGGGGGUAAAAAGAGUGGAUUUGAGGUAAAAAGAGGGAUCUUGGGGUGAAAAGGGAGGUUUUAGAGAAGAAAAGAAGAUUUUGAGGUAAAAAGACAAUUUGAAGUAAAAAAGGGGAGGUUUUAACAUAAAAAGAUGAGAUCUUGAGGUAAAAAUGGGAGAUUUGGGGGGAAAAGGGUGAUUUUGAGGUAAAAAGGGGAGGUUUUGACGAGAAAAAUGGGAAUCUCGAAGUGAAAGAGAAAGAUUUUGAGGUAAAAAGUGGAGAUUUGAGGCAAAAAGGGAAUGUGAGGUAGAAAAGGGAGAUCUUGAGAUGAAAAGGGGGGGAUGUGAUAGGAAGAGAGGAGAUUUGGGGUGAAAAGGGGAGAUUUUGAGGUAGGGGGAGAUUUGGGGCAGAAAGGGGGGAUUUUGGGGUAAAAAGGGGGGAUUUCGGGGUAAAAGGAAGAUCUUGAGGUUGAGAGUGGAGAUUUGAGGCAAAAAAGGGGGAGAUUUGGGGGUAGAAAUGGAGAUUUUGGGGGCAAAAGGGGAGUUUUGGGUAGAAAGGGGGGUUUGGGGGUAAAGAGGAGAUUUUGAGGUGAAAAGGGGGAGAUUUGGGGUAGGAGAGGAGAUUUNCCCCGUCCCCCAUUGUCACCUCCCCGACCCCCAGUGGCCCCGUGUCUCUCCGGGUCCCCUCUGCAUCUCCACGUCCCCCUCCAUGUCACCAGUGUCACCUCCAUGUCCUUCUGUACCCCUCCAUGUCCCCAAAUGUCCCCCCACGUCUUCAAACGUCACCUCCAUGUCCCCCCAUAUCUCCAGAUGUCACCUCCUCAUCCCCCAGUGUCCCCUCCACGUCCCCAUGUCCCCCUCCACGUCACCCAAUGUCCCCAUGUCUCUCCAUGUCCUUUCAGCAUCUCCAUGUCCCCACUGUCACCUCCCUGGCCCUCUAGGUCCCUCCAUGUCCCCAGAUGUCACCUCCAUGUCCCCCCAUAUCUCCAGAUGUCACCUCCCCGUCCCCCAAUGUCCCCGUGUCUCUCCGGGUCCCCUCUGCAUCUCCACGUCCCCCUCCACGUCACCAGUGUCACCUCCAUGUCCUUCUGCGUCCCCCCAUGUCUUCAAAUGUCACUUCCACGUCCCCUUAUGUCACCUUCGUGUCCCCAAAUCCUUCUCUGUCUCCCAGUGUCCCCUCCACAUCCCCAUGUUCCUCUCCACAUCCCCCAGUGUCCCCGUGUCUCUCCAUGUCCUCUCAGCAUCUCUAUGUCCCCACUGUCACCUCCCUGGCCCUGUAGGUCUCUCCAUGUCACCACUGUCACCUCUGUGUCCCCAAAUGUUCCCCCACAGCUUCAAACGUCAUCUCCAUGUUCCCUCCAUGUCCCCAGUGUCACCUCCCUGUCCCUCUAUGUCCCUCCAUGUCCCCCCAUAUCUCCAGAUGUCACCUCCCCAUCCCCCAGUGACCCCAUGUCUCUCCGUGUCCCCUCAGCAUCUUCAUGUCCCCUUCCAUGUCCCCCCACAUCCCCAAAUGUCCCCUCCCUGUCCCUCUGUGCCCCCCUAUGUCCCCCUCCAUGUCCCCCCCGUUUCCAGAUGUCACCUCCAUGUCCCCAUGCCCCUCUAUGUCCCUCAGGGUCCCCUCCUUAGCCCCAAUGUCUCCAUGUCCCCCAAACGUCCCUCAAUGUCCCCUCUGCGUCCCCUUCCGUGUCCCCAAUGUCACCUCCCUGUCCCUCAUUGUCCCAUGUCCCCAUGUCCCCCCCAUGUCUUCCUCCACGUCCCCAAAUAUCAUCUCCAUGUCCCCAUGCCCCUAUAUGCCCCCCCAGUGUCCCCCCCACGUCCCCCCAUGUCUCCACACCCCUAAGUGUCCCCCAACGUCCCUCCAUGUCCCCAGUGUCCCCUCCAUGUCCCCAGUGCCCCCCCCAGUGCCCCCUCACCUCGCGAACACGCUCCUGGGGGGCGGCAAACAGAAAGCAAACCGUCAGUGGGGCGGACUUGGGGGUCCCAGGGUGGGAUUAGGGGACUCCCAGGUAGAAUUGGGGUCGGAGAAUGGGAUGUGGGGGUCCCAGGGUGGGAUUAGGGGGCACUGAGAUGGGAUUUUUGGGGGUCCCAGGGUUGAUUUGGGGUGACAGGAUGAGAUUUUAGGGGCCGAGGAUGAGAUUCAGGGAUCCCUGGGAUGGGAUUUUGGGGCUCAAGGACAGAAUCUGGGGACCCUGUGGUGGGACUGGGGUCCUAGGGUGGGAUUUGGAGCCCCCCGGGGGGGGGAUUUCUGGCACUGGGGGGAGUUUGGGGUCCCCAGGAGGGGAACUGAAGACCCCAAGGUGGGAUUUGGGGACCCUAAGUGGGAUUUGAAACCCACAAGGGAGGAUUUGUGGCACCCUGUGGGUGGGGGUUUGGGGUCCCCACGGUGGGACUUGUGGUACUGGGGGGUGUUUUGGGGUCCCCGGGUGGGAUUUGAAG